UAAGAGGUCCAGCCUGCCCGGUGACAAAGUUUAACGGCCGCGGUACCCUAACCGUGCGAAGGUAGCAUAAUCACUUGUUCUUUAAAUAGGGACUAGUAUCAACGGCAUCACGAGGGUUACACUGUCUCCUUUCCCCAAUCAGUGAAACUGAUCUCCCCGUGAAGAAGCGGGGAUAUAACUAUAAGACGAGAAGACCCCAUGGAGCUUUAAGCUCAACAGCACCUCUAUACAAAUAUACCCCCACAACCCACGAGCCCUGUUUGUUAGCUUUAGGUUGGGGUGACCGCGGAGUAUAAUACAACCUCCACGACGAAUAGGCCUAAAACCUUUAUCCAAGAGCCACUGCUCUAAGAAUCAUAAAAUUGACGUAAAAUGAUCCGAUUUUCGAUCAACGAACCAAGUUACCCUGGGGAUAACAGCGCAAUCCAUUUCAAGAGCCCCUAU
This 444-nucleotide ribosomal RNA is filed under the name Tomopterna ahli. Its description in RNAcentral is "partial 16S ribosomal RNA". It matches the Rfam family "Bacterial large subunit ribosomal RNA", at positions 1846 to 2505 of the family's 2925-position model. Lineage: Eukaryota; Metazoa; Chordata; Amphibia; Anura; Pyxicephalidae. The record is from RNAcentral.